This 497-nucleotide ribosomal RNA is filed under the name uncultured bacterium. RNAcentral's name for it is "partial 16S ribosomal RNA". It matches the Rfam family "Bacterial small subunit ribosomal RNA", at positions 28 to 507 of the family's 1533-position model. The record is from RNAcentral.
GACGAACGCUGGCGGCGUGCCUAAUACAUGCAAGUUGAGCGCUGAAGGUUGGUACUUGUACCAACUGGAUGAGCAGCGAACGGGUGAGUAACGCGUGGGGAAUCUGCCUUUUAUCGGGGGACAACAUUUGGAAACGAAUGCUAAUACCGCAUAAAAACUUUAACCACAAGUUUUAAGUUUGAAAGAUGCAAUUGCAUCACUCAAAGAUGAUUCCGCGUUGUAUUAGCUAGUUGGUGAGGUAAAGGCUCACCAAGGCCAUGAUACAUAGCCGACCUGAGAGGGUGGACGGCCACAUUGGGAAUGAGACACGGCCCAAACUCCUUCGGGAGGCAGCAGUAGGGAAUCUUCGGCAAUGGACGAAAGUCUGACCGAGCAACGCCGCGGGAGUGAAGAAGGUUUUCGGAUCGUAAAACUCUGUUGGUAGAGAAGAACGUUGGUGGGAGUGGAAAGCUCAUCAAGUGACGGUAACUACCCAGAAAGGGACGGCUAACUACGUG